RNA transcript from Nerophis lumbriciformis (worm pipefish), 1226 nucleotides. It is a transcript of the gene named protein phosphatase 1 regulatory subunit 12B-like, with no coding region annotated. The record is from RefSeq and is a predicted model, not a curated record. Lineage: Eukaryota; Metazoa; Chordata; Actinopteri; Syngnathiformes; Syngnathidae.
AAGCGAAGCGGAGAGGAGAGUUGGGAGGGCGAGCGAGCCAUGAAAGGAGGUGGAGGAGAGAGAGAGGAAGGCAGAUGAAGAGAGAGUAUAACUUUGGGGGAAUCGCAGGAAGAAGGCAGCACAGGAAGAAGCUUUUGGCUGUUUUCUUUUGUUUGUUUUCUCCAUUUUGGAAGAAGACGAGGAGCACAAAGUCUUUCCAAAGUAGGCUCACACCUGUUUUCCCUGAGGAUUCCCUGGAGCGCCAUCAUGGGCUGUGGCGCCUGAGGGAAUCUUUGCAUCUGGUGUUCUGGAAGCAAGAGAAGCUUUAGGAAGGAGAUGUCAUCCUACUUCACGCGUACUAAAGACCUGACUCGUACCAGGAGGUCACUCACCGACUCACCGCCAUCCUCUCCAUCCCCUACUGACAAAAGCUUCCGACAUGACAGACUGUCAAGGUAUGACUCCAGUGGAGAUAAUGUGGCAGACAAAUUGGGGCGGACCAGCUCCUACACCCGCAGAGAGACCAGACUGGCUUCUCUGAGCAAGCAGGAGCAAGACACCACGAGCAAAGACUAUAAGAAGAUGUACGCGGAAGCACUACACGAGAAUGAGCGCCUUAAGUCUAGGCUGCAGGACAGCAAACAAGAACUUGUCAACAUUCGUUCCCAGUUGGAAAAAGUAACUCAGAGGCAAGACAGGAUAUCGGAGAAAUCUACUCAGCUUGAAGCUGAGAAAAAGGACAAACAGGCCCUCGAGAAGAGAGUGUCAGGCAUGGAAGACGAGAUAAAGACUUUCCCCGCUCUGGCUCAGGCACAGACCUUGCGGAGCAUCAACGAACGUCUCCUGGCCGAGAACAGAGCCUUGAUGCGCGCCCUGUCUCGCCUCUCUGAGACAGCCUCCGUGCCGGAGACAGAGGACCUCUGAAUUCACCUGUUCUCCUUUCAAGCCUCCUCCUCCUCCUCCUCCUCCUGCCCCAUUUCUCUGCACAACCCUCCUUCUGGUGCCUCCAUAACCCGCUCUUCCUCCACUGUGCUCCUCUCAGGUCUUAACAGAGCUCAAGGCAGACAACCAGAGGCUAAAGGAUGAGAACGGUGCGCUCAUUCGGGUCAUCAGCAAACUGUCUAAAUGAAAGAAUGUUCUGGUUUGCAGUUAUUCACCAUGAGGUCACAUUUCCUACUUCCUGUGAGGUGGAUCUAAAUUUCCAAAUUUGUGAUGGAUGCUGGAGUUAUAAUAAAUAACAACAAUUA